CCCUUAGAUGUUCUGGGCCGCACGCGCGCUACGCUGUUCGACGCAGCGAGUCUUAACCUUGACCGAAAGGUUUGGGUAAUCUUCAGCAAAGUCGAACGUGAUGGGGAUCGAUCAUUGCAAUUAUUGAUCGUGAACGAGGAAUUCCUAGUAAGUGCAAGUCAUCAGCUUGCGCUGAUUACGUCCCUGCCCUUUGUACACACCGCCCGUCGCUACUACCGAUUGAAUGGUUUAGUGAGAUCUCUGGAUUGACGCUGGCUAGGGGGCGACCCUUGGCCAGACUGUUGAGAAACUGCUCAAACUUGAUCAUUUAGAGGAAGUAAAAGUCGUAACA
RNAcentral lists this ribosomal RNA (331 nucleotides) under uncultured eukaryote. Its description in RNAcentral is "partial 18S ribosomal RNA". It matches the Rfam family "Eukaryotic small subunit ribosomal RNA", at positions 1470 to 1796 of the family's 1831-position model. The record is from RNAcentral.